CAGCCGUCCAACAUCUUGGGGUGAAGGGUCACAUCCAAGAUCUGAUUUUCUCCCUCCCUUGCUGCCUUCAGAAGGUGUGAUGCAAAGAAGAUUAUCCUAUUUCCCUAUGGAGUUUGACGUACGCGUGAAGUAGAGAGUCUGUACAUUCAAACAUCGUGAGGCUUUGAAUUCAAAAAAUCCUCAAUAUUUGAUCCCUACUCCACUGUGAUUCAGAUAAUUUAUAA
Molecule: long non-coding RNA, 224 nt
Filed under: Elaeis guineensis (African oil palm)
Lineage: Eukaryota; Viridiplantae; Streptophyta; Magnoliopsida; Arecales; Arecaceae
Description: long non-coding RNA (EGUI_LNC035881)
Source: RNAcentral